RNAcentral lists this ribosomal RNA (42 nucleotides) under Eucalyptus pluricaulis subsp. pluricaulis. RNAcentral's name for it is "partial 18S ribosomal RNA". Lineage: Eukaryota; Viridiplantae; Streptophyta; Magnoliopsida; Myrtales; Myrtaceae. The record is from RNAcentral.
UACUUGUGUGAUCCUGCCAGUAGUCAUAUGCUUUCUCAAAGA